GCCAGGUGUGGUGGUGCACGCCUGUAAUUCCAGCUACUCGGGAGGCUGAGGCAGGAGAAUUGCUUGAACCCAGGAGGCGGAGGUUGCAGUGAGCCGAGAUCAUGCCGCUGCACUCCAGCCUGGGUGACAGAGUGAGACUCUGCCUCAA
RNAcentral lists this non-coding RNA (148 nucleotides) under Gorilla gorilla gorilla (western lowland gorilla). The record is from Rfam by way of RNAcentral. Lineage: Eukaryota; Metazoa; Chordata; Mammalia; Primates; Hominidae.